GACGAACGCUGGCGGCAUGCCUAAUACAUGCACGUAGAACGCAGUUUCGAACGGGUGAGUAACGCGUAGGUAACUGCCUCAUAGCGGGGGAUAACUUAUGGAAACGAUAACUAAUAACGCAUUCUUUUACAUGGACCUGCGUGGUAUUAGCUAGUUGGUGAGGGAAAGGCUCACCAAGGCGACUAUACAUAGCCGACCUGAUAGGGUGAGCGGCCACACGGGGACUGAGACACGGCCCAGACUCCUACGGGAGGCAGCAGGAGGGAAUCUUCGGCAAUGGACGAAAGUCUGACCGAGCCACGCCGCGUGAGUGAAGAAGGUUUUCGGAUCGUAAAACUCUGUUGUUAGAGAAGCGGUAUCUAACCAGAAAGCCACGGCUAACUACGUGCCAGCAGCCGCGGUAAUAC
This 407-nucleotide ribosomal RNA is filed under the name uncultured bacterium. Its description in RNAcentral is "partial 16S ribosomal RNA". It matches the Rfam family "Bacterial small subunit ribosomal RNA", at positions 28 to 526 of the family's 1533-position model. The record is from RNAcentral.